RNAcentral lists this ribosomal RNA (484 nucleotides) under uncultured bacterium. RNAcentral describes it as "partial 16S ribosomal RNA". It matches the Rfam family "Bacterial small subunit ribosomal RNA", at positions 30 to 507 of the family's 1533-position model. The record is from RNAcentral.
AUUGAACGCUGGCGGCAUGCUUUACACAUGCAAGUCGAACGGCAGCGCGGGCUUCUUCCUGGCGGCGAGUUGCGAACGGGUGAGUAAUUCAUCGGAACGUGCCCAGUAUUGGGGGAUAGCCCGGCUAAAGCCGGAUUAAUACCGCAUACGACCUUAUGUUGAAAGCGGGGGACCGAAAGUCCUCGCGCGAUUUGAUCUGCCGUUGUCGGAUUAGCUAGUUGGUGGGGUAAAGGCUUACCAAGGCGACGAUCCGUAGCUGGGCUGAGAGGACGACCAGCCACACUGGGACUGAGACACGGCCCAGACUCCUACGGGAGGCAGCAGUGGGGAAUUUUGGACAAUGGGGGCAACCCUGAUCCAGCAAUGCCGCGUGAGGGAAGAAGGCCUUCGGGUUGUAAACCGCUUUUGUUCGGGAAGAAAUCCUCUGGGCUAAUACACCGGGGGGAUGACGGUACCGGAAGAAUAAGCACCGGCUAACUACGUG